Molecule: ribosomal RNA, 247 nt
Filed under: uncultured bacterium
Lineage: Bacteria
Description: partial 16S ribosomal RNA
Rfam family: Bacterial small subunit ribosomal RNA
Source: RNAcentral
AUACGUAGGGGGCGAGCGUUGUCCGGAUUUACUGGGCGUAAAGGGUGAGUUAGGCGGUUAUAUGUGUCAGAUGUAAAAGGCGUAGGCUCAACUUACGUUAGCAUUUGAAACUGUAUAACUUGAGUGCAGGAGAGGUAAGUGGAAUUCCUAGUGUAGCGGUGAAAUGCGUAGAUAUUAGGAGGAACACCAGUGGCGAAGGCGACUUACUGGACUGUAACUGACGCUGAGUCACGAAAGCGUGGGUAGC